UUAUGUUUUGCACUUAUUCUGUUACUAUUUUUAUUUCCUGCAAUAUAGGCUUAUAUUUUUUCAAAUACUUGCCAUUUAUUCUUAGGAUUCUCUUAUCCUUCUCUAUUUCUUCUAUUUCAUAUGCGCCGUUUGAGAAUGUUCUCAAAACCUGGAAAGGUCCUUCCCAUUUAGGAGACCACUUUCCCAUUAAUUUAUCUUUUCGAUCCAUAGGAAGGAUUACUUUCCACACAAG
Molecule: long non-coding RNA, 232 nt
Filed under: Lathyrus oleraceus (garden pea)
Lineage: Eukaryota; Viridiplantae; Streptophyta; Magnoliopsida; Fabales; Fabaceae
Description: Pisum sativum (pea) long non-coding RNA (PSAT_LNC023153)
Source: RNAcentral